CCUUAACACAGCGCUUUCUUAUGAUAUUGAUGGUGAGUGGAGCAACUGAAUGAACAGAGAACUGCAGGGAGCUAGCAGGACAAGCAUGAAUGAACGGGAAGAUAACGCUCCAUCUGCAUGAGAAAAGCAUGUGUGGGGCUUUCCGCCGAGCUCUGGAGCUGGCUUGUCGUGGAGUGAGACCAGAAAAGCUGCUGUCCCGACGUGCCCCUGCUCUCCAGGGAUUAGGAACAGCAGAGCCCAGCUGGGGCUGGCGGCAGCUCUGUGGGCACCUACCUGCUCUUGGGUUCUGCUCCUGG
This is a long non-coding RNA of Lagopus leucura (white-tailed ptarmigan), 296 nucleotides long. RefSeq lists it as uncharacterized. The record is from RefSeq and is a predicted model, not a curated record. The transcript is spliced from 3 exons. Lineage: Eukaryota; Metazoa; Chordata; Aves; Galliformes; Phasianidae.